RNAcentral lists this long non-coding RNA (398 nucleotides) under Rattus norvegicus (Norway rat). Its description in RNAcentral is "long non-coding RNA NONRATT033057". The record is from RNAcentral. Lineage: Eukaryota; Metazoa; Chordata; Mammalia; Rodentia; Muridae.
UUGGCUUCAAGACUGAAUCGCUCUAUUUUUACAGACCUGAACAUCGUAAAAUACAUCUGUACUUCACUCUGGUUGGUUCUUCUAAUGGUUCGAACGUUCCCCACUUCAGCAAGCGGGUACUGCAGACUGCAGCGAACAGAAGAAUGCAAAGUCCCGGAUGGUGAAUCAGCUCUCUUGUGUCUUGUGGACAGACACGUUGAUUAUUUACGGAACAGGGGUCUUUGGAAUUAAGGGAGCAUAUGGAAUCUCGUUGCUGAGAAUGGGAUCCAAGAACCCACAGCAUCAAUAAAACCUGGAGCUUGUUAGAAAUGUAGAACCCUGGGCUAUAUACAGACCUGUAAAAGCAAAUCUUCAUUGACCGAGCUCCUUGAGUGAAGGCUGGAGUGUACACACGAGAG